This is a long non-coding RNA of Nomascus leucogenys (northern white-cheeked gibbon), 678 nucleotides long. RefSeq lists it as uncharacterized. The transcript has 3 exons. The record is from RefSeq and is a predicted model, not a curated record. Lineage: Eukaryota; Metazoa; Chordata; Mammalia; Primates; Hylobatidae.
GGAUAAGCAGGCUAGAAGAGCCGACUCCUACAGCUGCGAUCCAAGAGGUGCCUGCAACAGUUGCCCCCCGACUUCUAUCGCCCCCAUGGAGGCAAACAAAUCUGGGACAGGGAAUGGGGGUCUGGGAGAGAAGAUGAAAAGACUGAGGAUCAGAGAGGUGAGCAGUAGCUUUUCCAAGGGCCCAGAGCCAAGAAGCGUUGAAGCUUAAAAGCACGCCGCGGCAGGGAAGAUCAAACAAGCCCUGCGCCUAUCUGCAGCUUGAUCUCUCUGUACUGAGCCAUGGAGCUCCUUCUUGGAGGCAUGAAAUGCUCCCCAUCCUUCAGGAGACAACAGCCAGCCACUCCUUGUCCAGUCAGCAACGCUGGAAUACCUCUGCAGCUCACAGCCCAACGCCCACAGCCUUCGAGUCAGUUCUUGAUAUUCGGCAAUGCACUGGACUCCUGAUCCCAUCAGCUCCUGGCUGAAGGUGGGCCAACCCUUCUCCAUUUCCUUCAAUUCAAACAUUUCCUCAUGUCCCUCAGUGCCAAGCCCUGUGCCAGGAGCUGAGGACCCAGAGGUGAGCUAGAUCUAAAAUCUGACCUCAAGGAGCCAAUAGUCUGAGAGGAAGACUAGAGUGGAUAAAAAUACCUUGGUAAUUUAUCACUCAAUAAAUAUCCAAUAAAUGCUAUUAUAUGCCAA